This 1032-nucleotide long non-coding RNA is filed under the name Malus domestica (apple). RNAcentral describes it as "long non-coding RNA (MDOM_LNC018252)". Lineage: Eukaryota; Viridiplantae; Streptophyta; Magnoliopsida; Rosales; Rosaceae. The record is from RNAcentral.
UUCGGGUAACUCGAGUUCUACAAGUUUUCACAACCAACUAAGGGUAUGGAUGAGUUCCUGAGCUCAUAAGGAGUACAGAAGUCACCUUCACAGCCUCAAUCCGUGACUGGUGAAGCUCGUUGAAAGGUUGACCGUACACUUGUACGGAAAAUGGGAAAAAUUCCUAGAGAGAAGGAGAGAGAGAGGUCAACAGGUUGAGUGGGUGUGUGAGUCCAAUUUGCAGCCAAUCAAACACAACCUUAAGUCUUUUAGUUCUAAUUGGGUCCAAUUAAUUAGGAAUAGAACUAAUUGGUCCAAAACCUUAGCCUAUACGCACACACACACACACAAAACUCAACGAUUAAAGGGCAUAUAAGGCAUUUCACACCAUCGCUACAAGUUUGAAAUGCAAGCAAAUAGGAUGAAUAUGCGACCCGAAACGAGCCAUAUUCAAGUUUGAAAUGAUCGAGAUGGUCGAGCUACAUGUGCAUUUGCCAUAGUUACGUUGACAAAUUAUGUGUUGGAACUAAAUUUGCGCACCUCUGUGAGUAGUGUUCGAGUAUAAGUAAGUUACAAAACAGUAAAACAAUCGUGCCUAGGACUGGGGGAGUGUGUCGGCCAAAGGUUCUCCAACGGUCAAGUCAAUAGCAAAAACAACCAAAUCUUAUUCCACUAAGCGGGGUUGUUUGUAUGAAUUUACAUCCAAUUGAAAAGUUCAAGUCUACUAUGUACCCUACUUGCAACUAUGUUCAAUAUUAGUUAAAGGUAUUUGAUUUCUACUCAUUCAAAUUCUGUUUAAUUUAACCACCACAAGGUGAUUCAGUGAUUUGGGAUGAAUUUCAGGCAUGUAUUCCACAUGACACGUUCUGGUUAGAUUCCUAGCGCUGGUGAAUCACACAUUGUGCUCAGGAGGCAGCUAAAAUGUCUCCAUAAUUUUUCCAGCCAUCGAAAUAGUAGAUUGUCGCGACGAUACCACCAACCAAUCCCUUUUUAAAAUAAAUAAAUAAAUAAAUUUUGUUUAAAUUGUUUUAUCGCUGAUGGUGUUUUUGUUUU